RNAcentral lists this ribosomal RNA (501 nucleotides) under uncultured Glomeromycotina. RNAcentral describes it as "partial small subunit ribosomal RNA". It matches the Rfam family "Eukaryotic small subunit ribosomal RNA", at positions 591 to 1092 of the family's 1831-position model. The record is from RNAcentral. Lineage: Eukaryota; Fungi; Glomeromycota.
CCAAUAGCGUAUAUUAAAGUUGUUGCAGUUAAAAAGCUCGUAGUUGAAUUUCGGAAUCUGUCCGUCGGUCGGGCUUACAGUCCGUACUGGUGUGGUGGGUUCUUACCUUCUGAAUAACCAGCAUGCCAUUCACUUGGUGCGCUGGGGAAGCAGGACUAUUACCUUGAAAAAAUUAGAGUGCUCAAAGCAGGCCAGUGCCUGAAUACAUUAGCAUGGAAUAAUAAAAUAGGACGGCAUGGUUCUAUUUUGUUGGUUUCUAGGAUCACCGUAAUGAUUAAUAGGGAUAGUUGGGGGCAUUAGUAUUCAAUUGUCAGAGGUGAAAUUCUUGGAUUUAUUGAAGACUAACUUCUGCGAAAGCAUUUGCCAAGGAUGUUUUCAUUAAUCAAGAACGAAAGUUAGGGGAUCGAAGACGAUCAGAUACCGUCGUAGUCUUAACCAUAAACUAUGCCGACUAGGGAUCGGACGAUGUUAAUUUUUUAAUGACUCGUUCGGCGCCUUACG